AAAAGUCGUAACAAGGUUUCCGUAGGUGAACCUGCGGAAGGAUCAUUAAUAAAAGGAUACCUUCGGGUAUACCCCAUCCGUGUCUACAUACUCUUGUUGCUUUGGCAGGCCGUGGUCUUCCACUGUGGGCUCUGCCUGCAUGUGCCUGCCAGAGGACCAAACUCUGAAUGUUAGUGAUGUCUGAGUACUAUAUAAUAGUUAAAACUUUCAACAACGGAUCUCUUGGUUCUGGC
This 233-nucleotide unclassified non-coding RNA is filed under the name Mollisia panicicola. RNAcentral describes it as "Acidomelania panicicola partial internal transcribed spacer region". The stretch from base 1 to 48 matches the Rfam family "Eukaryotic small subunit ribosomal RNA", at positions 1784 to 1831 of the family's 1831-position model. Lineage: Eukaryota; Fungi; Ascomycota; Leotiomycetes; Helotiales; Mollisiaceae. The record is from RNAcentral.